GAUAAGUCAAGCCAGACUAAAUUGCGAUUCUCACAGGAAAAGUCGCUGCAGCAAAAGCAGAGGAGCUGGGGAUUGGGAAAGGGAAUGAGAAGCUCCAGUUCUCGCAGCUGAUGGGAAUGGCUGACGGGCUCUCGCUGGCACUACGAAAUGCGGGGUUUCAAGUGAGCAAGUACCUCCCUUUUGGACCAGUGGAGCAGGUGAUGCCCUACCUCCUGAGAAGAGCUGAGGAGAAUAGA
This 236-nucleotide unclassified non-coding RNA is filed under the name Hevea brasiliensis (rubber tree). Lineage: Eukaryota; Viridiplantae; Streptophyta; Magnoliopsida; Malpighiales; Euphorbiaceae. The record is from RNAcentral.